This 253-nucleotide ribosomal RNA is filed under the name uncultured bacterium. Its description in RNAcentral is "partial 16S ribosomal RNA". It matches the Rfam family "Bacterial small subunit ribosomal RNA", at positions 524 to 776 of the family's 1533-position model. The record is from RNAcentral.
UACAGAGGGCUAAAGCGUUGUUCGGAUUCAUUGGGCGUAAAGGGUGCGUAGGCUGCGCGGUAAGUCGGGUGUGAAAUCUCGGGGCUUAACUCCGAAACUGCAUUGGAAACUACCUUGCUAGAGGGUUGGAGGGGGGACUGGAAUACUUGGUGUAGCAGUGAAAUGCGUAGAUAUCAAGUGGAACACCAGUGGCGAAGGCGAGUCCCUGGACAACUCCUGACACUGAGGCACGAAAGCUAGGGGGGCAAACAGG